This is an RNA transcript of Cloeon dipterum, 1005 nucleotides long. It is a transcript of the gene named cell adhesion molecule Dscam2-like, with no coding region annotated. The record is from RefSeq and is a predicted model, not a curated record. The transcript is spliced from 4 exons. NCBI's taxonomy places the organism in Eukaryota, Metazoa, Arthropoda, Insecta, Ephemeroptera, Baetidae.
UGUGGCUGGCGGGAGUCCAGUGACGCAAGUGACGUGGCUGCGCAACGGGCGUCCAGUGGCGGGCGACGCGCGGUUCGACCUGUCGCGGCGGGACACGCUGAGCGUGCGUCCGGUGCUGAAGGACGACCACGGCAUGACUGUACCAGUGCUUCGUGUCCAACGAGUGGGAGCAGGCGCAGGCGACGGCGCAGCUGCUGCUCGGCGACGCCAGUCCGGAGCUCGUCUACUGGUUCUCCGAGCAGACUCUGCAGCCAGGGCCCGCCGUCUCGCUCAAGUGCGUCGCCACCGGCAACCCGCCGCCCCAGUUCGUCUGGACGCUCGACGGAUUCCCUGUACCUGACAAUAAAAGAUUUCUCGUGGGUCAGUACGUGACUGUGCACGACGACGUGAACAUCUCGAGCCUGCGCGAGGAGGACGGCGGCGAGUACACUUGCACGGCGCGCAACGCGGUGGCGCAGGUGUCGCACAGCAAUCAUCGAGGGCGGCCUUCCGCUGACGUUCAGGUGGGAACGCAACGGGCAGCCGCUGCCGUCGCCCGCCGCCUCGACGAAUACUCGGCCUCGCUCGUCAUCGAACACAUCUCGUCAGCCCACAGUGGCGACUACACCUGCAUCGCCCAGAACGUCGCUGGCACCGUCACCUUCACCGUUCCCCUCACCGUCAAUGUUCCACCGCGGUGGGUGAUCGAGCCGAGCGACGCGAGCGUGGCCUCCGGACACGACACGUGGUGUUGCACUGCCAGGCCGACGGCUACCCUGUGCCCAACGUGACCUGGCGUCGGGCGGACGGAAACGCUCCUGGCGAGUACAAGGGCCAGGUGCGCACCUCCAGCGGCUACUCCAGCCACACUGACGAGACCACCUUCAGUGGUCUGGCGUCGAAGCGAGCGUCGGCGUGCGAGCGGGUGCAGCAGCCAGGCCGCCCCUCCGAUUCGCACCACGAGCUGAGCGAGGCCGAGUGCGACCGCGGCCGCAAGCCUCGCCUCUCGCGCACCGCAGGGACACC